RNAcentral lists this ribosomal RNA (490 nucleotides) under uncultured bacterium. Its description in RNAcentral is "partial 16S ribosomal RNA". It matches the Rfam family "Bacterial small subunit ribosomal RNA", at positions 30 to 507 of the family's 1533-position model. The record is from RNAcentral.
AUUGAACGCUGGCGGCAGGCCUAACACAUGCAAGUCGAACGGUAACAGGAAGAAGCUUGCUUCUUUGCUGACGAGUGGCGGACGGGUGAGUAAUGUCUGGGAAACUGCCUGAUGGAGGGGGAUAACUACUGGAAACGGUAGCUAAUACCGCAUAACGUCGCAAGACCAAAGAGGGGGACCUUCAGGCCUCUUGCCAUCGGAUGUGCCCAGAUGGGAUUAGCUAGUAGGUGGGGUAACGGCUCACCUAGGCGACGAUCCCUAGCUGGUCUGAGAGGAUGACCAGCCACACUGGAACUGAGACACGGUCCAGACUCCUACGGGAGGCAGCAGUGGGGAAUAUUGCACAAUGGGCGCAAGCCUGAUGCAGCCAUGCCGCGUGUAUGAAGAAGGCCUUCGGGUUGUAAAGUACUUUCAGCGGGGAGGAAGGGAGUAAAGUUAAUACCUUGACUCAUUGACGUUACCCGCAGAAGAAGCACCGGCUAACUCCGUG